AAAGAAACCAACAGGGAUUGCCCCAGUAACGGCGAGUGAAGCGGCAAAAGCUCAAAUUUGAAAUCUGGCUCCUUCGGGGUCCGAGUUGUAAUUUGUAGAGGAUGCUUCGGGCGUGGUCGCGGUCUAAGUCCCCUGGAACGGGGCGUCGUAGAGGGUGAGAAUCCCGUCUUCGGCCGGCUGGCUUCGCCCGUGUGAAGCUCCUUCGACGAGUCGAGUUGUUUGGGAAUGCAGCUCUAAAUGGGUGGUAAAUUUCAUCUAAAGCUAAAUACUGGUCGGAGACCGAUAGCGCACAAGUAGAGUGAUCGAAAGAUGAAAAGCACUUUGAAAAGAGAGUUAAAAAGCAUGUGAAAUUGUUGAAAGGGAAGCGCUUGCGACCAGAGUCGGCCGCGGGGGCUCAGCGGGCACUCGUUGCCCGUGCACUCCCCCGGGGUCGGGUCAGCGUCAGUUUCGGCGGUCGGUCAAAGGCCCCCAGAAUGUGUCGCCCUUCGGGGCGUCUUAUAGCUGGGGGUGCAAUGCGGCCCGCCGGGACUGAGGAACGCGCUUCGGCACGGACGCUGGCUU
Molecule: ribosomal RNA, 561 nt
Filed under: Helicocarpus griseus
Lineage: Eukaryota; Fungi; Ascomycota; Eurotiomycetes; Onygenales; Ajellomycetaceae
Description: eukaryotic LSU rRNA
Rfam family: Eukaryotic large subunit ribosomal RNA
Source: RNAcentral